Molecule: ribosomal RNA, 496 nt
Filed under: uncultured bacterium
Lineage: Bacteria
Description: partial 16S ribosomal RNA
Rfam family: Bacterial small subunit ribosomal RNA
Source: RNAcentral
GACGAACGCUGGCGGCGUGCCUAAUACAUGCAAGUAGAACGCUGAAGAGAGGAGCUUGCUCUUCUUGGAUGAGUUGCGAACGGGUGAGUAACGCGUAGGUAACCUGCCUUGUAGCGGGGGAUAACUAUUGGAAACGAUAGCUAAUACCGCAUAACAAUGGAUGACACAUGUCAUUUAUUUGAAAGGGGCAAUUGUUCCACUACAAGAUGGACCUGCGUUGUAUUAGCUAGUAGGUGAGGUAAUGGCUCACCUAGGCGACGAUACAUAGCCGACCUGAGAGGGUGAUCGGCCACACUGGGACUGAGACACGGCCCAGACUCCUACGGGAGGCAGCAGUAGGGAAUCUUCGGCAAUGGGGGCAACCCUGACCGAGCAACGCCGCGUGAGUGAAGAAGGUUUUCGGAUCGUAAAGCUCUGUUGUAAGUCAAGAACGGGUGUGAGAGUGGAAAGUUCACACUGUGACGGUAGCUUACCAGAAAGGGACGGCUAACUACGU